CCUACGGGGGGCAGCAGUGGGGAAUAUUGCACAAUGGGGGGAACCCUGAUGCAGCGACGCCGCGUGAGUGAAGAAGUAUUUCGGUAUGUAAAGCUCUGUCAGCAGGGAAGAAGAAAGACGGUACCUGACCAAGAAGCCCCGGCUAACUACGUGCCAGCAGCCGCGGUAAUACGUAGGGGGCAAGCGUUAUCCGGAUUUACUGGGUGUAAAGGGAGCGUAGACGGCAGGGCAAGUCUGGAGUGAAAGGCGGGGGCCCAACCCCUGGACUGCUCUGGAAACUGUCCGGCUGGAGUGCAGGAGAGGUAAGUGGAAUUCCUAGUGGAGCGGUGAAAUGCGUAGAUAUUAGGAGGAACACCAGUGGCGAAGGCGGCUUACUGGACUGUAACUGACGUUGAGGCUCGAAAGCGUGGGGAGCAAACAGGAUUAGAUACCCCGGUAGUC
This 441-nucleotide ribosomal RNA is filed under the name uncultured bacterium. RNAcentral describes it as "partial 16S ribosomal RNA". It matches the Rfam family "Bacterial small subunit ribosomal RNA", at positions 338 to 795 of the family's 1533-position model. The record is from RNAcentral.